This 224-nucleotide unclassified non-coding RNA is filed under the name plant metagenome. RNAcentral's name for it is "partial contains small subunit ribosomal RNA, internal transcribed spacer 1, and 5.8S ribosomal RNA". The record is from RNAcentral.
UUUCCGUAGGUGAACCUGCGGAAGGAUCAUUAAAGAAUCGCCCCGUUUUUUAUAGAUGGGUUCUAUUCCCAAACCGUGUAUACAUACCUUUGUUGCUUUGGCAGGCCGCCUCCGGGCGUCGGCUCCGGCUGAUAGUGCCUGCCAGAGGACCCAAACUCUGUGUUUAGUGAUGUCUGAGUACUAUAUAAUAGUUAAAACUUUCAACAACGGAUCUCUUGGUUCUG